GACCUCGAAUGCAGUGGCAUUAAAAUGAUUGACAUAAGUUCAGAUGGAUUCUCUCUCUUUUUGCUUAAUGUUGAUGAGGGAUUCCGAACCUCUCCGGGGACAUCGGCUGCUGACGAAAUGAGCCACAAACUGAUGACUCAUUUGAUCAAAGGAGAAGAUAGUAUCCAGCUUCAGUGCCGAGUACCAGUUCCUCGCUGCUCCCUUCAAGGUGGAUGGGAAAGCUCGGCACAGGACGGCGUCUGGUGCACCAUGGAGUAACAUCAUUGUCUGGAAGACCUCCAGAUGGUCAACCGGGUCUGAGGUCCCAUCGUAGCUCUCAAAUUGGGGGAGUU
This 332-nucleotide long non-coding RNA is filed under the name Elaeis guineensis (African oil palm). Its description in RNAcentral is "long non-coding RNA (EGUI_LNC044007)". The record is from RNAcentral. Lineage: Eukaryota; Viridiplantae; Streptophyta; Magnoliopsida; Arecales; Arecaceae.